This 254-nucleotide ribosomal RNA is filed under the name uncultured bacterium. RNAcentral's name for it is "partial 16S ribosomal RNA". It matches the Rfam family "Bacterial small subunit ribosomal RNA", at positions 524 to 776 of the family's 1533-position model. The record is from RNAcentral.
UACGGGGGGAGCAAGCGUUGUUCGGAUUUACUGGGCGUAAAGGGCGCGUAGGCGGCCAGCACAAGUCAGUUGUGAAAUCUCCGAGCUUAACUCGGAAAGGUCAACUGAUACUGUGCGGCUAGAGUGCAGAAGGGGCAACUGGAAUUCUUGGUGUAGCGGUGAAAUGCGUAGAUAUCAAGAGGAACACCUGCGGCGAAGGCGGGUUGCUGGGCUGACACUGACGCUGAGGCGCGAAAGCGUGGGGAGCGAUCCGG